This 253-nucleotide ribosomal RNA is filed under the name uncultured bacterium. RNAcentral describes it as "partial 16S ribosomal RNA". It matches the Rfam family "Bacterial small subunit ribosomal RNA", at positions 524 to 776 of the family's 1533-position model. The record is from RNAcentral.
UACGACGGGUGCCAACGUUGCUCGGAAUUAUUGGGCGUAAAGCGCACGUAGGCGGCAUUGCAAGUCGGAUGUGAAAUCCCUCGGCUUAACCAAGGAAGUGCAUCCGAAACUGCAGUGCUUGAGUACUUAAGAGGAUCGCGGAAUUCCCGGUGUAGAGGUGAAAUUCGUAGAUAUCGGGAGGAACACCAGUGGCGAAGGCGGCGAUCUGGGAAGAUACUGACGCUGAGGUGCGAAAGCGUGGGGAGCAAACAGG